RNAcentral lists this transfer RNA (73 nucleotides) under Microcoleus asticus IPMA8. RNAcentral describes it as "tRNA-Lys". It matches the Rfam family "tRNA". From Rfam's summary of the family: Transfer RNA (tRNA) molecules are approximately 80 nucleotides in length. The record is from RNAcentral. Lineage: Bacteria; Bacillati; Cyanobacteriota; Cyanophyceae; Oscillatoriales; Microcoleaceae.
GGGUGGUUAGCAAAGCGGUUAUGCACCCGGCUUUUAACCGGUACCAGAUAGGUUCAACUCCUAUACCACCCAC